This 1342-nucleotide long non-coding RNA is filed under the name Monodelphis domestica (gray short-tailed opossum). Its description in RNAcentral is "lncRNA (ENSMODG00000048535.1)". The record is from RNAcentral. Lineage: Eukaryota; Metazoa; Chordata; Mammalia; Didelphimorphia; Didelphidae.
GUUUGAUAUCAAGAGGAUAAAGGAAGAAGUCUUAUUGUCCAUAUGAUGACAUGAAGACAUGCUAUUAGAUGGAUAACACGAGGCUGUCCUGUGUGUGGUGUGUGUGAGUGAGAGACAGAGAGACAGACUGGACUGAUGAUUUCAUUGUUUUUUUGAUAACUCCCAGUCAAGGAAACUGUGUGUCAUCAUCUUAUCUGGAAUCUAUAGCCUCAGACUUGCCUAUAUCACUGAAAAAAAGAAGAAACUGAGGCAAUCAAGGUUAAGUGACAAGGUUAAGCUAGAAGUGUCUAAGGCCAGAUUUGAACUUGGGAAGAUGAGCUGCCUCUUUUAGUGGGGAACAUGAUGCUUUUUUCUUGCCAAGAAAAUCUCGGACCAGACCAAGGAAAUGUGCACUCUGGGGAGCCUGAUUUCUAUAUCUUAUCUCUCCUCUUUUCUUUAUUGCUUGUGAGGGUCAUGGGUGAAGCUGCUUCAGAUGGAUUCUGAGGGCACAGCUGUCUCCCCUUCUCAACUCAAGAAAGUAAUGAUGAUGGUGGCAAUACACCAGUUGAGACAUUUGAUAACAAGAACUUAAAUGAAACCUCUGCCAUUAAAGUCACUCAACUAUUGUAAAAGCAUGAUACAAACUUUGAGAGAUAUGUCGUGGGGGAAAAUGUGAUUAGAAGUGAGACAAAUUAAAGGUAAAGUGUUUUCUGUUCUUUGUUUUUUUCCAUUAAAAAAUACAGGGGCAGCUGGGUGGCUCAGUGGCUUGAGAUACAGGACUGGAGACAGGAGAUCCUGGGUUCAAAUCUGACCUCAGACAUUUCCCAGCGGUGUGACUUGGGACAAGUCACUUAACCCCAAUUGCCUAGCCCUUACCACUCUCCUACCUUGGAACCAAUACUUAGUUUUAAUUAUAAAAAAGAAGGUAAGGUUUUUUCUUUUUAAAAUGCAAUUAUUUGACCCAGAACUACCUCAAACUGCAAAUCCUCCCUCCCCCCCCUUCCCCAACCAAUACCAGCUGCUUCAGAACUGGAUUAAGAUGUCAAUGACCCCCUGAAGCCUCACACUUUGAGCAGCUCUUCUCUACUGCUCUCUGGGGAACCUUCACCUUCUCAUUCCUCUUCAUCUGGGCAGCCAGCCCAAUGGUUUGGCCUUCUUUCCUUUGAACCCUCAACAUUCCUGGGCUAAAUUUUUCUCCUUUUGGUGCUAUUAAUUGCAUGAUUGUUUGGGAAUUCACAAACUUUAUUACAUCUUAGACUAUGCUAGCAAACUUUCUAGAUUCUGUAAGUUGAGUUAUUAUCCUAGAGAGGGAGAAAGAUCAAUUGGUAAUCAGAGAAGUGUAUUUCCAUGAUGCCAGUGCGAU